Molecule: transfer RNA, 72 nt
Filed under: Actinomadura craniellae
Lineage: Bacteria; Bacillati; Actinomycetota; Actinomycetes; Streptosporangiales; Thermomonosporaceae
Rfam family: tRNA
About the family: Transfer RNA (tRNA) molecules are approximately 80 nucleotides in length.
Source: Rfam by way of RNAcentral
GGCCCCGUCGAUUAUGGGUUAGGUUCCGAGGUUUUCACCCUCGGGGAGCGGGUUCGAGUCCCGCCGGGGCUG